Molecule: unclassified non-coding RNA, 241 nt
Filed under: uncultured Entolomataceae
Lineage: Eukaryota; Fungi; Basidiomycota; Agaricomycetes; Agaricales; Entolomataceae
Description: sequence contains ITS1
Source: RNAcentral
UUGAAUUUAAAACUUGGUUGGGUUGUUGCUGGCUCUCUGGAGCAUGUGCACGCUCAGUCAAAUUUUCAACCACCUGUGCACACACUGUAGGCCUGAAUGAACUUUUUUUUCCGGGGAAACUCGGGGUUUGAGAACUGCAAGUCAGCUGUUCUUGUAUUUCAGGUCUAUGUUUUAAACCCAUAUACUCUAUAGCAAGUGAUAGAAUGUCUAUUAUUGGCCUUUUGUGCCUUUAAAUCUAAUA